RNAcentral lists this ribosomal RNA (459 nucleotides) under uncultured bacterium. RNAcentral's name for it is "partial 16S ribosomal RNA". It matches the Rfam family "Bacterial small subunit ribosomal RNA", at positions 338 to 795 of the family's 1533-position model. The record is from RNAcentral.
CCUACGGGUGACAGCAGUGAGGAAUAUUGGUCAAUGGCCGGAAGGCUGAACCAGCCAAGCCGCGUGAAGGACGAAGGUGCCAAGCAUUGUAAACUUCUUUUGUCAAGGGACAAAAUCAGGCUCGAGAGCCUGACCGAGGGGACUUGAAGAAAAAGCAUCGGCUAACUCCGUGCAAGCAGCCGCGGUAAUCCGGAGGAUGCGAGCGUUAUCCGGAUUUAUUGGGGUUAAAGGGUGCGUAGGCGGGCUGUUAAGUCAGCGGUAAAAGCCCGGGGCUCAACUCCGACGAGCCGUUGAAACUGGCUGUCUUGAGAUGUCGAGAGGUAUGCGGAAUGCGCAGUGUAGCGGUGAAAUGCUUAGAUAUUGCGAAGAACUCCGAUUGCGAAGGCAGCAUACCAGCGGCGAUCUGACGCUGAGGCACGAAAGCGUGGGUAUCGAACAGGAUUAGAUACCCGAGUAGUC